UCUCCUUCCAUCCCCUUUGUCUGAAAACAAAACGGAACGGAGGACUUAAGGAGUGAGGAGUGAGGAGUGAUCUGAGCUUUCGGUAUUGAGAAGAGGUGGGCGUUGAUUGAUUUGUUUGACUUUCUCUCUCUCUCUCUCUCUCUCUCUUUCUCUAAAUCAGAACACAAUCGUCGCCUACGUGCUUGCUUAAGGGCAAGGAGAUCAUCAUUGAAGGAGGUAGAGAGAGAAUGUACAUCUAAUUCCAUAAAUGACACCAUUCUAUGAGCCAACGUCCAAGAAGCAGAAGAAGAAGAAGAACACCUCCAGGGACCUGAGACGAAGUGGAAUUGAUAAUGAUAUUGGUUGUUCCUGUUCUCGUAGUGUCACCACAUUGCUAUAAGCGGACAUCCUUGUUCAUGGUUAUGUUGGUUUGCCUUGAAGGUCUUAGACCAAGUCUUCUCAAAGGUACACUCUUCUUAUUGAUUGUUGAUGGUUUUAUUUGAUGGAUCUUUUUGGUCUUCUCUUGGCUACAUCUUCAGAUCAUGAGGAACCAGGAUUACUGUGAGGGAGGUUCGAAGAGAAAGAAUAAACAUUGUGGGAGAGUGUUUGAUUUCUGAGUUCAACUUUCAGCUUUUAAGCCUAAGACCCUAUAUUUUAGUGGAGGAGGAUGUUUUGAUCGGCUGGUGAUGGUUUUGAUGGAUCGUUUUGUCUUCUCUACGCUGCAUCUUCAGGCUUUUGAUGAUGCUUUUAUUGAUGAGAGUGAUGGCUUUGAUGGACACGCUUCUUCUCUGUGCUACUUCUUCAAAGGGUGUUUUGGAAGCCAGUUAUGAUAUGAUCAUGGCGUAUUCUUCUCCAUGCUGCCACGUCUUCAGCCACGUUCUCACAGAUUCGUGGAGGCUUUGAUCGGUGAUGGCUUUGACUGAUCGUUGUUACUCUAAUUCAUGUUAUUCUUCUAGGAUUGUGGAGGAAAGAGGAUGCUUUGAUCGGUUGGUGAUGGUUUUGAUGGAUCGUUUUUGUCUUCAGAUCAUAAGGCACCAGGUGGGAGGUUCGAAGAGAAAAAAAAAACAUUGUGGGGAGUGCGUAUGAUCAGGUUUUGGAUGAUACUUUUAUCAAUGAGAGUGAUGGCGUUGAUGGACACACUUCUUCUCUGUGCUACGCCUUUAAGUGUUUUCUUCUUCCUCUUCUCACGUCUUUUACUUCUUUUUUUUUUGUUUUGUUUUGUUCCUGUUCUUUCUUCGCUUUGCAGUUCUUUUGGAAGCAAACCAUGAUCCAAUCAUCAGUAUUCUAAUCCAUGUUAUUGUCUUCAAGCGUCCUCAUGGGUUCCUUGCUCCAAUCAUCACUCUCUUACUCAUAUUGCUCUUCUAGAGUUUGGUUUCUAAAUUGUUUAUUCAAAGUUUUUUUAUUAUGUUCAUGCGACUCUUAACUCUACUUGGCUCUGUUAAUUUUAGAUUGUGGAGGAGGAUGCUUUGAUCGGUUGGUGACAGUUUUGAUGGCUUGUAUUUGUCCUCUCUGCGUGGCCUACGUCCUUAAAAAGUGUAAAGUUGGUUCUUCUCAUUGAGGGAGACACUGGUUCGGGUAAGACUAUACGAUUACCACAAUAUCUCCAUGGAGCUGGUUUGAAAGGAAAGAGCAAAGAGCAAGUUGAGGCGCUGUCAAAAAGAGUUGUCUCAUCGUGCGGCUGUGCCAGGAUGUACAAGGAUGGUAGCAUCAUUCCAUUAGAUGAUUAUUUGUGUUUUGCCGCAAAUAUUUCAUACAUGCUGGGAUAUGGUAGUCCCCAGAUGAAAGAGCUCAUGAGGCUUUAUCUCGCCAUGCCGUUGAGUAUGUUGGUUGUGGAAAGAGAGAGAGAGAGAGAGAGAGAGAUGAAAUGGCUGAGGAUAGAGAGCUAUUAGAACCAGUAGCUACAACACAAAGCAAGCCGCAGGAAAUAUCAAGUUACUCUUACCGAAGCAAGCACAUGCAUUAUAUGGAGAAUUAGGGUUCCUGGAGGUUCGAACUCGAAGCCAUGGGUGCUUAUCUAUCUAUGGUCCAAUUUACUCGCUCAGGAUUGAUAGAAUUGCUCGUGUUGCCUUCGAGAGUCGAGACUGCUCGGCGUGGCAAGCUGUGUACUGCUGACAAAGCUAAUGUCUAUGGCCUCAAUUUAUGGAAGAAACGAGCAAGAGAGCCUCUGAAUAUCCUAAUGUUGAGCUGUCACAUAUGUAUGUUGACAAAACUGCGAUGACCCGCCAACAGGCAGUUUGAGACCAUUUUUGUUGAUAUAUUAUCCGGUUAAGCUUCAUUGAUCACAGGAAGCUCUGGAAUGCUGGCAUGCCGUCCAUUGCUCAAGUAUUUCUAAAUAGCCAGAUUCUUCUUGUCCAGUAAGGUGUGUCGAUAUUGCCAGCAGCGACCGGAAAAUUCAGUAUGUUGUGUUCGCCAAACAACGGAAAAUUUCUGGAUGUGUGUUAUGUAUGUCAAAUGAUUACUUACACAAUCUCAUCAAGCACCGCUUGAGAGAUCUUUCCUACCGUUAAGUGUCUCAGAAGUUCGAAGACCCAGCAGAAGGGGAGGAUACACAGGUGGCAAAACUUCAAGAAAUUAUACGACCAUCUCAGUACUGGAUUCCGUGCCUUGGUGGAUGGAACUCGGUAAGCUGUGUCCGUCUCCACCGCAAGUCUAAAAAUCAUCCCAAUUGGGUUGU
This is a non-coding RNA of Camelina sativa (false flax), 2653 nucleotides long. NCBI's taxonomy places the organism in Eukaryota, Viridiplantae, Streptophyta, Magnoliopsida, Brassicales, Brassicaceae. The record is from RefSeq and is a predicted model, not a curated record.